CCUACGUGAGGCAGCAGUGAGGAAUAUUGGUCAAUGGCCGGAAGGCUGAACCAGCCAUGCCGCGUGAAGGUCAGUGCCCUAUGGGCGUUAAACUUCUUUUGUGCGGGAGCAAUAAUGGUCACGUGUGGCCAGACGAGAGUACCGUACGAAUAAGUAUCGGCUAACUCCGUGCCAGCAGCCGCGGUAAUACGGGGGAUGCAAGCGUUAUCCUGAGUUAUGGGGUUUAAAGGGUGCGUAGGGUGUGAUGUAAGUCAGAGGUGAAAUGCCCCCGCUCAACGGGGUGAAGUGCCAUUGAUACUGCCUUGCUGGAAUGCGGAUGCCGUGGGAGGAAUGUGUGGUGUAGCGGUGAAAUGCAUAGAUAUCACACAGAACACUGAUUGCGAAGGCAUCUCACGAAUCCGCGAUUGACGCUGAUGCACGAAAGCGUGGGUAUCAAACAGGAUUAGAUACCCGGGUAGUC
Molecule: ribosomal RNA, 460 nt
Filed under: uncultured bacterium
Lineage: Bacteria
Description: partial 16S ribosomal RNA
Rfam family: Bacterial small subunit ribosomal RNA
Source: RNAcentral